GGGGAAUAUUGCACAAUGGGCGCAAGCCUGAUGCAGCAACGCCGCGUGAGGGAUGAAGGCCUUCGGGUUGUAAACCUCUUUUAGUAGGGAAGAAGCGAAAGUGACGGUACCUGCAGAAAAAGCACCGGCUAACUACGUGCCAGCAGCCGCGGUAAUACGUAGGGUGCAAGCGUUGUCCGGAAUUAUUGGGCGUAAAGAGCUCGUAGGCGGCUUGUCGCGUCUGCUGUGAAAUCCCGGGGCUCAACCCCGGGCCUGCAGUGGGUACGGGCAAGCUAGAGUGCGGUAGGGGAGAUUGGAAUUCCUGGUGUAGCGGUGGAAUGCGCAGACAUCAGGAGGAACACCGAUGGCGAAGGCAGAUCUCUGGGCCGCGACUGACGCUGAGGAGCGAAAGCAUGGGGAGCGAAC
This 405-nucleotide ribosomal RNA is filed under the name uncultured bacterium. Its description in RNAcentral is "bacterial SSU rRNA". It matches the Rfam family "Bacterial small subunit ribosomal RNA", at positions 356 to 773 of the family's 1533-position model. The record is from RNAcentral.